CAUGUAGGUGGUUAUGUAAGUCGAAUGUGAAAUCCUUUGGCUUAACCAAAGAACUGCAUUCGAAACUAUAUAACUUGAGUUCGGGAGAGGAGAGCGGAAUUUCCGGUGUAAGAGUGAAAUCUGUAGAAAUCGGGAGGAACACCAGUGGCGAAGGCGGCUCUCUAGACCGAUACUGACACUGAGAUGCGAAAGCCAGGGGAGCAAACA
Molecule: ribosomal RNA, 207 nt
Filed under: uncultured bacterium
Lineage: Bacteria
Description: partial 16S ribosomal RNA
Rfam family: Bacterial small subunit ribosomal RNA
Source: RNAcentral